AGAGCGAACGCUGGCGGCAGGCCUAACACAUGCAAGUCGAGCGCCCGUAGCAAUACGGGAGCGGCAGACGGGAUAGUAACACGUGGGAACGCGCCCUUCGGUUCGGAAUAACUCAGGGAAACUUGAGCUAAUACCGGAUACGCCCUUACGGGGAAAGAUUUAUUGCCGAAGGAACGGCCCGCGUCCGAUUAGCUAGUUGGUGAGGUAAUGGCUCACCAAGGCGACGAUCGGUAGCUGGUCUGAGAGGAUGACCAGCAUCACUGGGACUGAGACACGGCCCAGACUCCUACGGGAGGCAGCAGUGGGGAAUAUGGACAAUGGGCGCAAGCCUGAUCCAGCCAUGCCGCGUGGAUGAUGAAGGCCUUAGGGUUGUAAAGCUCUUUCGCUAGGGACGAUAAUGACGGUACCUAGACAAGAAGCCCGGCUAACUUCGUGCCAGCAGCCGC
Molecule: ribosomal RNA, 446 nt
Filed under: uncultured bacterium
Lineage: Bacteria
Description: SSU rRNA
Rfam family: Bacterial small subunit ribosomal RNA
Source: RNAcentral